RNAcentral lists this ribosomal RNA (382 nucleotides) under uncultured eukaryote. RNAcentral's name for it is "partial 18S ribosomal RNA". It matches the Rfam family "Eukaryotic small subunit ribosomal RNA", at positions 592 to 976 of the family's 1831-position model. The record is from RNAcentral.
UGUAAGCGUAUACCAAAGUUGUUGCAGUUAAAACGCUCGUAGUCGGAAUUUGGCAGUUCCGGAUGUGUGCACGUCGUGUGCGCACUUCGCGGGGAUUGCUUUUGUGGGCUUGCGUAGGAUGAGGCACUUUUAUUAGUGAACGUCCUCACGCAACCACUUUUUACUGUGAGAAAAUCAGAGUGCUCAAAGCAGGCAUUUGCCGUGAAUGUAUUAGCAUGGAAUAAUAGAAUAGGACUUGGUUCUAUUUUGUUGGUUUGUUGGGACUGAGUAAUGAUUAAGAGGGACAGUUGGGGGCAUUUGUAUUUCGGUGCUAGAGGUGAAAUUCUUAGAUUACCGAAAGACAAACUGCUGCGAAAGCGUCUGCCAAGGAUGUUUUCAUUGA